Vicia villosa (hairy vetch) is the source of this 806-nucleotide long non-coding RNA. RefSeq lists it as uncharacterized. The record is from RefSeq and is a predicted model, not a curated record. The transcript is spliced from 4 exons. Lineage: Eukaryota; Viridiplantae; Streptophyta; Magnoliopsida; Fabales; Fabaceae.
CAUCAUCACAUUUCGAAUUUAUAAUAAGAAGCAGCAAACACAUGUAAAGUAACACCCCUUCGUUUCUCUCCCUCAAUCUGCUGUGAACACCUCAUUCCUUUUCUCCUACGUAACGUAACCCUCACCAUUCUCCGCUCUUCUCUACCGCAUGUUCUUUCGUAUUCACCAUCAAUUCCGCCAAGAACCUUCUUCAGACUCGUCCACACUGUACUUCCCAUAUGAUGCUUGCAAGUUAUGCUCUGAUUGCAACAAAUCAAAGGAGAAUCAAUUCGGUGGGUUCUGGUUUACUUUGUCAGUUGGGGAGGAAAGUAGCAGAUUUUCCACCUUAGCUGGCUUUUAUGCAGUCGCGGCUCAAGUGGCCUAGGCGGAUUGUUCUUCAAUUUUUCUCUCGUACAGUUCUAGAGCCUCAAAUGUUUCCGCUGGGUUCUGUGACUGCUUUGUUUUUAAUAGCGGCCAGCAGGGUCUUCUGUUGGGUCAGGAGAGGUAGGGCCGGGGGUGUUUUUUCUGUGGCCUGCUAUGUUUCUGCCAUCAAGCUCUGGUUUUGCUGUUUCACUCUCGUGUUUUGGUUUUCAACCUGGCUUUUUGUUAGUUUGUGUGCCUUUGCUGUCAAAGUUUGGAUGGUUUAUGCAUUUCCAUUGGGGCCUGCUGUAGACAGAUUUGCCGAUCCGGAGUGCAAAUAAUAGGUGGGAUUUUCAGUGAGUCCUCUGGCACAUAAGUCUUGUCACUAAAUCCAGAUCUAUCGACAAUUUUUCUUUGGAAACUUAUGCUCUCAUCUUUAAAAACUCCAGAAGCUUUUAAGUUAUGUA